Engraulis encrasicolus (European anchovy) is the source of this 1026-nucleotide long non-coding RNA. RefSeq lists it as uncharacterized. The transcript is spliced from 4 exons. NCBI's taxonomy places the organism in Eukaryota, Metazoa, Chordata, Actinopteri, Clupeiformes, Engraulidae. The record is from RefSeq and is a predicted model, not a curated record.
AGUGUUCGUGAAUGUGUUCACGCAGAUAUAAGAAGUUGGGGUUGGGGUUGAUGAUCCACAUGAUGGUGAUGGACCAGGACAGCUCUGGACCUCCUGACUGGCAGCUCCAUCCUCAACCUCCCUUCCUGUCCUUCACACAUGUGCAGGCAGAGGCAGUUUUCUGAAGGAUGGUUAAUGUCAGUAUCAACAUGUUGUGAUGGAGGCUUCCACCUGAGCUGAACACAGAAACUUGCACACAGUGAUGGAAGCAGUCGUUCCUGUUCAGCAUUGAUAUGCCGGUAAUGGGUUUGAUGAGCCACAGCGUGGUGAUGGGCAAUCAGCAUCAGGACCAGGGCCGCUCACAAGGAGAACCUCCUGCCCUGCCUCUUCAUCCUCAACCUCCAAUCUUCCUGCUCUUCACACAUGUGCAGGCACAGAGCCAGUUUUCAGAGGGAGGGCUGAUGACACCAGCAACUUCGGAUCUGAACCUGAUCAACCCAGCACCAACCACUGUGCCGCUCCUCCUCUGCCAACUGCACCACAUGGCUCCACCAUCUCAAAAAGGCACAGACACUACUCCACUUCCUGCGAAGGAUGAGAGAAGAGCCGACCUCCCCACAACGGCACUCACCACCUUCUACAGGGGUGUCAUUGAGAGCAUCCUGACCAGCAGCCUCUCUGUCUGGCAUGGCAGCCGUCAAGCUGAAGACUAGAAGGCAGUACAGAGAGUGGUGAGGACAGCAGAAAAGCUCAUAAGAUCACCCCUACCUGUUCUCCCUACUACCAUCAGGGAAGCGCUAGCCCAGCAUGCGGUGCUGCAAAAGCACACUGGGAAACGACUUCUUUCCACAAGCCAUCAGACUCCUCAACGCACUGAAGAAAACCACAUGAAUAACCAAGGACACGGGAGAAUAUUCCAUGAACACUUCUUUCACCAUGCCACUUACACUUAACUCAUUGCACCUUGUAUACAGCAUCUUCACACCACCUGUAUGAACUCCUCCUGCCGUGUGUGUGUGUGUGUGUGUGUGUCCACUGUGUUUGUGU